GACGAACGCUGGCGGCGUGCUUAACACAUGCAAGUCGAACGGAAAGGCCCUGCUUUUGUGGGGUGCUCGAGUGGCGAACGGGUGAGUAACACGUGAGUAACCUGCCCUUGACUUUGGGAUAACUUCAGGAAACUGGGGCUAAUACCGGAUAGGAGCUCCUGCUGCAUGGUGGGGGUUGGAAAGUUUCGGCGGUUGGGGAUGGACUCGCGGCUUAUCAGCUUGUUGGUGGGGUAGUGGCUUACCAAGGCUUUGACGGGUAGCCGGCCUGAGAGGGUGACCGGCCAAAUUGGGACUGAGAUACGGCCCAGACUCCUACGGGAGGAAGUAGUGGGGAAUAUUGCACAAUGGGAGGAAGCCUGAUGCAGCAACGCCGCGUGCGGGAUGACGGCCUUCGGGUUGUAAACCGCUUUCGCCUGUGACGAAGCGUGAGUGACGGUAAUGGGUAAAGAAGCACCGGCUAACUACGUG
RNAcentral lists this ribosomal RNA (468 nucleotides) under uncultured bacterium. RNAcentral's name for it is "partial 16S ribosomal RNA". It matches the Rfam family "Bacterial small subunit ribosomal RNA", at positions 28 to 507 of the family's 1533-position model. The record is from RNAcentral.